CGUGAUGAGCAGCAUGGUCCCAUUUUUGUGGCGGGUAAUCAACAUAGUAAGGAUCACAUUGUUCUUGGAUCAUAGAUUAGAUGCAGCAUCCACAAGUAGUGUUACACCUUUAACAGGGGCCAAAUUGAAUGGCUAGGAUUAUCUGAAUGGGAGAUUUUGAUGCAGCUCUCAUCCACCAUGGGGCUCAACCAUACAAAUAGUUCCAAUGGCAAGAUUGGAACCCAUGUACAAUUAAUCAACUCAAAACGGAUGCUAGAGACCCAGCCUCAUAUUUUCUUGACCAGCAAAUUAUAUGGUAGACAAAUUGAAACAUUGUUGAUGGUCUAAAUUUGAUAAAUAAAUGUCAACCAAUGACACAUUACGACCAUCCAAAAAUCUGAUUUUGAGCAUUCGGCCAAGGUGAAAAUUCGAGGCCCUCCAUUUCUAUUGGAUUGAGAUAAAUGUAAAAGCAUGAGCAGUGGCUGUGUGACUGGGCACUACUGGAUCAAGCAACCCUGCAUCAACUUCUUCUGAAAAGUUUAAGACCUGAAGUGUUCAGCAUGACAGUAACAAAGGCAUUAGCAGGACAUACUAUUAAAAACCAGAUAAGUUUUUAUUUUUCUUUUUGGUAGCAUUUGAGUGUCUAAUUACCUGCUUGCCUUCUUCUUCUUCUUCUUCUAUUUUUUUUGUUUCUUUAAUUUGUAAUUAUCCUUGACUGUUUUAGAUCAACAAGGGACGUCCCCAUAUUCAAGGAACGGUUUCAUCAUGACAAUGACGUGGCAGAGUAUUUCCGUUCUUUGGAAUUCACAAAAGAGCCAUCCAAAACUGAUAUAAGGGAGGUUCUAGAUUUGCUUACUGUCUCUGAGCUACGUGAAAUUUCAACUCUGGUGCUUUCAAAGCUUGCUUGGGAACACCAAUCUGUCGGGAACUAUUCCGAAUCUCAGCCCAUUAAGGAGGCUGGAUAGAUUGCAUUUUCAGGAAUUAGAAUUCUUCUUAAACCAACACUUGAGGAUUGCCUUCUCAUGUGUACAAGAACUGCCCCUCUGACAUCUCUCACAUUCCAUGAGGAAAUCUCUAGACAGACAUUCUCUUCAAAACCUCGUAGAAAGCAAUGAAAAUAUACUUAAAGUUCUUAACACAUGGUAGAAAUUUUGACAAUUGUUGUACACCUGAAGACAAUGGGUAGGUUGUUAAAGCAGACAAUCAGAGGGAAAUCACAUCUGAAAGAUGGUAAGAUCUUACUGGUGUGCAUGCAUUCAUGUAGACACAAGUUCUUAACACAUGGUAGAAAUUCUGACAAUUAUCGUACUUAGUAUUCAAAACUGAAUUUUUCUGACAGGGUUUUGAAACCAUUAGGAUCCUUUUAGAUGCCACCUUGAAAUGUAGAUUAAUCACAUGUAUGAGGAGUGCAGGCUGCCUGUGGCCCAAUCAUGUGAAGAACUUGGAGAAUUCGUUCACCCCAAGAUACAUGACUAUCUCAUUUUAUCCAUUGUGGCCCAAUCAUGUGGAGAACUUUCUUGAACUAUAUGCAGGUUUUAAUAUGUUGCUGGUAAUCAAACUAGACGAACACAAAAUUCCAUAGAGAGGCCUAGGGUUACUGUUGCAAUGCAUCAGGUCGAUAUACCUAUACAGCAAAGCUAUCUGUGGUAUGGUUCAAGCAUUGGAGACAAGGAUCCACAGGUAUGACGUUUCUAUGCUUAGGAUUAGCACUGUUACGGAAUUCAACUACUUGUGGUAACUGUUUAUUGUCAUGUGUGGGCUAAGUUUCAAGGCCUCUGGCACAUACAUAUUUCGACCGGAUGGCGCUCUUCAAACAGUUGCUUCAAGAUCGGUAAUCCAGUUGGUUUCCAGUUUCUUGUUCAUCGUAAAUUGCUGAAUAAUGACUUGAGAAAAUUGAAACCAUUAAAAAGCAGUGUUGGUUAGCUUGUUUGUGGUUUUAAGGUUACUAAACCUUGAAUGUAAUAUCAUUCGACUGUAGGUACCCUUGAAGAUUGUGCGAGGACCUCUAGUUGAUUUAGUUCAUCAACAAUUCAAUCUGUGGAUUUAUCAGCUUUUUUUGAUACACUGGUCAUGUUGAAUUGUGUUGGAAGAUAUCAACAACGAUAUAGAACUGAGAGAUGUUUGCUUUAGCUACCCUGCGAGACCCAACAUUCAUGUAUUUUCUGGGUUCUCAUUGCAUGUUCCAAGCGGCAUAACUGUGGAUUUAGUUGGAGAGAGCGGCAGUGGGAAGUCGACAGUGAUGAGCCUGGUGAA
This is an RNA transcript of Magnolia sinica, 2232 nucleotides long. It is a transcript of the gene named alpha-mannosidase At3g26720-like, with no coding region annotated. NCBI's taxonomy places the organism in Eukaryota, Viridiplantae, Streptophyta, Magnoliopsida, Magnoliales, Magnoliaceae. The transcript has 6 exons. The record is from RefSeq and is a predicted model, not a curated record.